AGCGAACGCUGGCGGCAUGCUUAACACAUGCAAGUCGCACGGUUCAGGGGCAACCCUGGGCAGUGGCGGACGGGUGAGUAACGCGUAGGAAUCUAUCCUUGGAUGGGGGACAACCGUGGGAAACUACGGCUAAUACCGCAUGACGCCUGAGGGCCAAAGUCAUUGGGGCAACCUGGUGGCGUCUGAGGAGGAGCCUGCGUCUGAUUAGGUAGUUGGUGGGGUAAAGGCCUACCAAGCCUACGAUCAGUAGCUGGUCUGAGAGGAUGAUCAGCCACAU
RNAcentral lists this ribosomal RNA (277 nucleotides) under uncultured bacterium. RNAcentral describes it as "partial 16S ribosomal RNA". It matches the Rfam family "Bacterial small subunit ribosomal RNA", at positions 29 to 313 of the family's 1533-position model. The record is from RNAcentral.